This 85-nucleotide transfer RNA is filed under the name Didymella heteroderae. RNAcentral's name for it is "tRNA-Lys". The stretch from base 32 to 77 matches the Rfam family "tRNA", at positions 8 to 63 of the family's 71-position model. Rfam says of the family: Transfer RNA (tRNA) molecules are approximately 80 nucleotides in length. The record is from RNAcentral. Lineage: Eukaryota; Fungi; Ascomycota; Dothideomycetes; Pleosporales; Didymellaceae.
ACUCGGGCAGCAUAUUAAUAAACAUCAGGGUUAGCGCGUGAGACUUUUAAUCUCAAGGCUCAGGGUUCGAGUCCCUGGUCGGGCG